GAGUUUGAUCCUGGCUCAGAACGAACGCUGGCGGCAGGCUUAACACAUGCAAGUCGAACGAAGUCUUCGGACUUAGUGGCGGACGGGUGAGUAACGCGUGGGAACGUGCCCUUUGGUACAGAAUAGCCCCUGGAAACGGGGAGUAAUACCGUAUGGUGUCUUCGGACUAAAGAUUUAUCGCCAAAGGAUCGGCCCGCGUUGGAUUAGGUAGUUGGUGGGGUAAUGGCCUACCAAGCCGACGAUCCAUAGCUGGUUUGAGAGGAUGAUCAGCCACACUGGGACUGAGACACGGCCCAGACUCCUACGGGAGGCAGCAGUGGGGAAUCUUAGACAAUGGGGGCAACCCUGAUCUAGCCAUGCCGCGUGAUCGAUGAAGGCCUUAGGGUUGUAAAGAUCUUUCGCUGGGGAAGAUAAUGACGGUACCCAGUAAAGAAGCCCCGGCUAACUCCGUGCCAGCAGCCGCGGUAAUACGGAGGGGGCUAGCGUUGUUCGGAAUUACUGGGCGUAAAGCGCGCGUAGGCGGACUGGAAAGUUGGGGGUGAAAUCCCGGGGCUCAACCCCGGAACUACCUCCAAAACUAUCAGUCUGGAGUUCGAGAGAGGUGAGUGGAAUUGCGAGUGUAGUGGUGAAAUUCGUAGAUAUUCGCAGGAACACCAGUGGCGAAGGCGGCCCACUGGCUCGAUACUGACGCUGAGGUGCGAAAGUGUGGGGAGCAAACAGGAUUAGAUACCCUGGUAGUCCACACCGUAAA
This 751-nucleotide ribosomal RNA is filed under the name uncultured bacterium. RNAcentral's name for it is "bacterial SSU rRNA". It matches the Rfam family "Bacterial small subunit ribosomal RNA", at positions 9 to 806 of the family's 1533-position model. The record is from RNAcentral.